Molecule: ribosomal RNA, 497 nt
Filed under: uncultured bacterium
Lineage: Bacteria
Description: partial 16S ribosomal RNA
Rfam family: Bacterial small subunit ribosomal RNA
Source: RNAcentral
GAUGAACGCUGGCGGCGUGCCUAAUACAUGCAAGUCGAGCGAACAGAUAAGGAGCUUGCUCCUUUGACGUUAGCGGCGGGCGGGUGAGUAACACGUGGGUAACCUACCUAUAAGACUGGGAUAACUUCGGGAAACCGGAGCUAAUACCGGAUAACAUUUGGAACCGCAUGGUUCUAAAGUGAAAGAUGGUUUUGCUAUCACUUAUAGAUGGACCCGCGCCGUAUUAGCUAGUUGGUAAGGUAACGGCUUACCAAGGCAACGAUACGUAGCCGACCUGAGAGGGUGAUCGGCCACACUGGAACUGAGACACGGUCCAGACUCCUACGGGAGGCAGCAGUAGGGAAUCUUCCGCAAUGGGCGAAAGCCUGACGGAGCAACGCCGCGUGAGUGAUGAAGGGUUUCGGCUCGUAAAACUCUGUUAUUAGGGAAGAACAAAUGUGUAAGUAACUGUGCACGUCUUGACGGUACCUAAUCAGAAAGCCACGGCUAACUACGUG